Non-coding RNA from Camellia sinensis, 668 nucleotides. Lineage: Eukaryota; Viridiplantae; Streptophyta; Magnoliopsida; Ericales; Theaceae. The record is from RefSeq and is a predicted model, not a curated record.
GAAAUGCUUCAGGGCCCGAAUGUGGUGGCUCGAAUGCCCCGAAAGCGUGGGCUCACGCGGCAUAACGCCCCAAUCUCGCUCUCUAUCAUUUUUCAGUGUUUUACCUCGCUCUCUCUCCUUUUUUAGUGUUAUACCCAACUCUCUUCCUCAUCUUGCUCUGUUCUUCAUUCAACUUCCGAUUCAUCUGCUCUUCCGGUUCAUUUCGGAAUCAUUCCAGCGUAUCACCUCCUCUCUUCUCCCAGACGAUGCCGAAAAGUUCAUCCUCACACCCGAAUCGCAGAACAUUUUUGGAGAUGAAAAAUUGAUUUCACAGCAUCAAACUAGAGCACAAGGUGAAAAAAAAAUUCAGGCAUAAACCAAAUCGAACAAAAUGAUGUCAGGGUAAGGCUUUCUGAGAUGAUGAUGGGGACGUUACCUCGACAAUCCAUUCCAAUAGUGGACCUCGUAAAGCUAUCGAAACAGAAGAAUUCAAUCAGGGCAAGGCUUUCUGAGAUGGAAAAUGAAAUACAUGAGCAUAGUAGAAGGCUUCAAAGGAUGGACAACAAUUUCAAGGCUAUGAUUUAUGUGAUUCUACUCUAUAUCGUUUUGUACUUUAUUAUGUAAUAAUUUAAAUGCUUGACUGUUAGUUUUUGGGAUAUUUGAUGAAUGUAAUUAUGGAUGUAAUAGGA